RNAcentral lists this ribosomal RNA (785 nucleotides) under Bacillus cereus. RNAcentral describes it as "bacterial SSU rRNA". It matches the Rfam family "Bacterial small subunit ribosomal RNA", at positions 26 to 796 of the family's 1533-position model. The record is from RNAcentral. Lineage: Bacteria; Bacillati; Bacillota; Bacilli; Caryophanales; Bacillaceae.
GGGGAAAAGGGGGGUUACCUAUAAAUGCAGUCGAGCGAAUGGAUUAAGAGCUUGCUCUUAUGAAGUUAGCGGCGGACGGGUGAGUAACACGUGGGUAACCUGCCCAUAAGACUGGGAUAACUCCGGGAAACCGGGGCUAAUACCGGAUAACAUUUUGAACCGCAUGGUUCGAAAUUGAAAGGCGGCUUCGGCUGUCACUUAUGGAUGGACCCGCGUCGCAUUAGCUAGUUGGUGAGGUAACGGCUCACCAAGGCAACGAUGCGUAGCCGACCUGAGAGGGUGAUCGGCCACACUGGGACUGAGACACGGCCCAGACUCCUACGGGAGGCAGCAGUAGGGAAUCUUCCGCAAUGGACGAAAGUCUGACGGAGCAACGCCGCGUGAGUGAUGAAGGCUUUCGGGUCGUAAAACUCUGUUGUUAGGGAAGAACAAGUGCUAGUUGAAUAAGCUGGCACCUUGACGGUACCUAACCAGAAAGCCACGGCUAACUACGUGCCAGCAGCCGCGGUAAUACGUAGGUGGCAAGCGUUAUCCGGAAUUAUUGGGCGUAAAGCGCGCGCAGGUGGUUUCUUAAGUCUGAUGUGAAAGCCCACGGCUCAACCGUGGAGGGUCAUUGGAAACUGGGAGACUUGAGUGCAGAAGAGGAAAGUGGAAUUCCAUGUGUAGCGGUGAAAUGCGUAGAGAUAUGGAGGAACACCAGUGGCGAAGGCGACUUUCUGGUCUGUAACUGACACUGAGGCGCGAAAGCGUGGGGAGCAAACAGGAUUAGAUACCCUUGGUAGUCC